This 1235-nucleotide ribosomal RNA is filed under the name metagenome. RNAcentral's name for it is "bacterial LSU rRNA". It matches the Rfam family "Bacterial large subunit ribosomal RNA", at positions 1564 to 2808 of the family's 2925-position model. The record is from RNAcentral.
UGAAUACGAGAUGCUACGGCAUCGAAGCAGUCUAUGUCAUACUUCCAAGAAAAGCUUGCACUGUCAUAAACAAAUAGUGCCUGUACCAUAACCGACACAGGUGGGUAGGUAGAGUAUACUAAGGGGCGCGAGAUAACUCUCUCUAAGGAACUCGGCAAAAUGACUCCGUAACUUCGGGAGAAGGAGUGCCUUAUUUUAUAAGGUUGCAAUAACAAGAUCCAAGCAACUGUUUACCAAAAACACAGGUCUCCGCUAAGUCGUAAGACGAUGUAUGGGGGCUGACGCCUGCCCAGUGCCAGAAGGUUAAAGAAGUUGGUUAGCAUUAGCGAAGCUGAUAACUGAAGCCCUGGUGAACGGCGGCCGUAACAGUAACGGUCCUAAGGUAGCGAAAUUCCUUGUCGGGUAAGUUCCGACCCGCACGAAAGGCGUAAUGAUUUGGAUACUGUCUCGGAGAGGGGCUCGGUGAAAUAGACUUGUCUGUGAAGAUGCGGACUACCUGCACCAGGACAGAAAGACCCUAUGAAGCUUUACUGUAACUUGAGAUUGAAAUUGGACUUUAUUUGCGCAGUAUAGGUGGGAGACGUUGAAAAUAUUCUUGCGGGAAUAUUGGAGUCAUCAGUGAGAUACCACUCUUAUAAUGUUAGAUUUCUAACUUUGUAUCAUUAUCUGGUCAAAGAACAGUCUCAGGCGGGCAGUUUGACUGGGGCGGUCGCCUCCCAAACGGUAACGGAGGCGCACAAAGGUUUCCUCUGAACGUGUAGAAAUCGUAUCUAGAGUGUAAAGGCAUAAGGAAGCUUGACUGUGAGACCUACAAGUCGAGCAGGGACGAAAGUCGGUCUUAGUGAUCUGACGGUGCUGAGUGGAAAGGCCGUCACUCAACGGAUAAAAGUUACUCUAGGAUAACAGGCUGAUCUCCCCCAAGAGUUCACAUCGACGGGGAGGUUUGGCACCUCGAUGUCGGCUCAUCGCAUCCUGGGGCGGUAGUACGUCCCAAGGGUUGGGCUGUUCGCCCAUGAAAGCGGUACGCGAGCUGGGUUCAGAACGUCGUGAGACAGUUCGGUCCAUAUCCGGUGUAGGCGUUAGAAUAUUGAGAGGAGCCUUCUUUAGUACGAGAGGACCGAGAAGGACAUACCUCUGGUGUACCAGUUAUCGUGCCAACGGUAAACGCUGGGUAGCUAUGUAUGGAGAGGAUAACCGCUGAAAGCAUCUAAGUGGGAAGCCCACCUCAAGAUAAG